Molecule: long non-coding RNA, 1092 nt
Organism: Engraulis encrasicolus (European anchovy)
Lineage: Eukaryota; Metazoa; Chordata; Actinopteri; Clupeiformes; Engraulidae
Exons: 3
Source: RefSeq, a predicted model, not a curated record
UGUAUCUAAUGAAGAAAACAAUAUGAUGUGAAUGUAUAACUGUAGGACAGGGGUGGGCAACCUUUUUCAUUCGAGGGGCCACUUCAAAUUCCUCCAAGGACUGUCAAAGUCCUCCGAGGGCUGCACUAUGAACAGAAAUCAGGAUUUCCCCCUGCACUUGCCUAUAUUGAAGGCAGCCAGCUGUAAAACAGACCCCACCUUCUCUUGGUCCCCUGCAAAUGACUUAAUCGUAUUGCAAAUGUCAUUGCUAAGAUUCCUUUACAAAAUAUGUUUUAUUUCAUGUGAAGCUGCAUAACAUUGAAAUUAUGUCGGAGGCCUGGUGAAACGGCCCUCGAGACAUAGGUUCCUCACCCCUGCAUUAUGAACAGUUUGUGAACGCAGGCAUGCAUGUUAUACAAUGAUUAAUUUCAUAUUAGAUUGAAAAUAGAUUGCCAAGUAAUGUGUCUUCAUUUUCCAUAACUAUCACCCCUUCCGAUUACAACUGGUCUCGAACGGUCACAGACUCACAGGCAGUGGUGUGGUCUGUGUGCAUCAGCUAUUUCACUCGUAGGAAGCUGCAUGUUGGAAGAUUCCAUUAGACCUAUGUUAAUACAGUUGUAGAAAGUAUGCUGUCAAAUGGUUACUGCAUUGUAACUAAGGAUAUAUUACUGAUUCCCACCCUUACAUCACUGCAAAAAGAAAUGCAUUGCUAAUUGCCUUCAGUGUAGUCUUUUCAGAUGCUGUUCUGCUGCCAGUCCACCAUGUGCACAAACGGGUCGCCUAGAGGAGGAGGGCGGGCAACGAAUUACUCAAAUGCUGUGUUGCUGCCAGUCCACGGAUGUACACGAAUGGCUCACCUGGAGGAGGAGGGCGGUCAACGACAUUACUCAAGUAUUGACAACAAAUGUGCUCUACGAUGACAUUUCCAGCAUGUCCAACUCAUCUGCAUCAGGGGCGAUUCGGUGAAGGUGGUGCACCAUCCAGGACCAGUCAUGGGCCACCAACACCUCUGCAAAAUCUACACUUCUUGUGAACCCUGUAGAAGACACUACAACCACAAAACUGCUAAUAAACCAUCACAUACGGCAUCACAUAAUGGUUCUCCAUGUGUUA